UACGUAGGGACCAAGCGUUGUUCGGAUUUACUGGGCGUAAAGGGCGCGUAGGCGGCGCGGUAAGUCACUUGUGAAAUCUCUGAGCUUAACUCAGAACGGCCAAGUGAUACUGCAGUGCUAGAGUGUGGAAGGGGCAAUCGGAAUUCCUGGUGUAGCGGUGAAAUGCGUAGAUAUCAAGAGGAACACCUGAGGUGAAGACGGGUUGCUGGGCCAACACUGACGCUGAUGCGCGAAAGCCAGGGGAGCAAACGGG
Molecule: ribosomal RNA, 253 nt
Filed under: uncultured bacterium
Lineage: Bacteria
Description: partial 16S ribosomal RNA
Rfam family: Bacterial small subunit ribosomal RNA
Source: RNAcentral